AUACUUUAAUACACAUGGAUGUGAAACAUUACCGGAAGCUCCAUAUAAAGUCUAUGGAGAAACGUCACUUCCUGUUGUCUCCAUGCUAUACAACAAAGAAAAUGGCGAGUGAGGACAAAUGAUCGCCUGAUUUUGUUCAGUAAUAGGUUAAUGCAUGAUAUGAAUUGAGACUUUUACUUAAUUGCCUCCUGUGUGUUGAGCUAUUCACCAAAAAAUGGCAAUUUUUCUAUAAUUAACCACCUUGGGCAAAAUUUCUAGCCAAUGCUCACAGAUAUUCAAGGAACACAACAUUAGGAGACUACUUCGAACAGCAGAAAAAGGUUCGAAAUGCCACCAUUUUUGAGGGUUCCAACUAUAGGUCUAACAGGAAAUAUAUGUAAAAGUAUUAUUUCAUUCACUUCCAAAGGACUGGUUGUUAUCUAUAUACCAAUGAUAAUUCAAUUAUAUUUUUAUCUCUUAUUAUUUUUAAUUUUAGAAUCUGUCAUUCACUCAGUACCCAAAGGACUCAUGUAUCACACAUUCAUGGUGAAGAAGAGGCUAUGAUUUUUGCUAGCCUAUAAGCUCAGAACUUGUACAAUUAUUUGCUACUUAUUUGCUAUAUUAAUUCUGAAUCUUUAAAAUUAUAACAUAAAAAUCAUGGUCAGUAUACUUAGUGACUAGUAUGUUGUAUCAUAGCUCACAGAGCUCAGUGUAAUAGUCAUCCUAUCUUUAUUCCUAUUGUUUUAUAGCAAUCAAUAUGACAUGGUUUAAAACUCAA
Molecule: long non-coding RNA, 757 nt
Organism: Amphimedon queenslandica
Lineage: Eukaryota; Metazoa; Porifera; Demospongiae; Haplosclerida; Niphatidae
Exons: 3
Source: RefSeq, a predicted model, not a curated record